UGCGUAGGCGGUUCGUUAAGUCGGAUGUGAAAACUCUGGGCUCAACCCAGAGCCUGCAUCCGAAACUGGCGGGCUAGAGUUCUGGAGGGGGUAGCGGAAUUCCUGGUGUAGCGGUGAAAUGCGUAGAUAUCAGGAGGAACACCGGUGGCGAAGGCGGCUACCUGGACAGAAACUGACGCUGAGGCACGAAAGCUAGGGGAGCAAACA
Molecule: ribosomal RNA, 207 nt
Filed under: uncultured bacterium
Lineage: Bacteria
Description: partial 16S ribosomal RNA
Rfam family: Bacterial small subunit ribosomal RNA
Source: RNAcentral